UGUUUCGGCUAGGGGGCCAUCCCGGCUUACCAACCCGAUGCAAACUGCGAAUACCGGAGAAUGUUAUCACGGGAGACACACGGCGGGUGCUAACGUCCGUCGUGAAGAGGGAAACAACCCAGACCGCCAGCUAAGGUCCCAAAGUCAUGGUUAAGUGGGAAACGAUGUGGGAAGGCCCAGACAGCCAGGAUGUUGGCUUAGAAGCAGCCAUCAUUUAAAGAAAGCGUAAUAGCUCACUGGUCGAGUCGGCCUGCGCGGAAGAUGUAACGGGGCUAAACCAUGCACCGAAGCUGCGGCAGCGAACGUAUCACCCAAGACAACUUUACGGAGUUAACGAUUGACGGAGCGAAGCGACGUCAAAGCGUUCAUUAAAGU
RNAcentral lists this ribosomal RNA (375 nucleotides) under Salmonella enterica subsp. enterica serovar Poona. RNAcentral's name for it is "partial 23S ribosomal RNA". The stretch from base 1 to 331 matches the Rfam family "Bacterial large subunit ribosomal RNA", at positions 911 to 1229 of the family's 2925-position model. Lineage: Bacteria; Pseudomonadati; Pseudomonadota; Gammaproteobacteria; Enterobacterales; Enterobacteriaceae. The record is from RNAcentral.